GAUGAACGCUAGCGGCAGGCUUAACACAUGCAAGUCGAGGGGCAGCACGUCUUCGGAUGGUGGCGACCGGCGCACGGGUGCGUAACGCGUAUAGAACCUACCUUUUACAGGGGAAUAGCCCAGAGAAAUUUGGAUUAAUGCCCCAUAGUAUUAUUAGAUGGCAUCAUUUGAUAAUUAAACAUUUAUGGGUAAAAGAUGGCUAUGCGUUCUAUUAGCUAGAUGGUAAGGUAACGGCUUACCAUGGCGACGAUAGAUAGGGGUCCUGAGAGGGAGAUCCCCCACACUGGUACUGAGACACGGACCAGACUCCUACGGGAGCAGCAGUGAGGAAUAUUGGACAAUGGGCGAGAGCCUGAUCCAGCCAUGCCGCGUGCAGGAAGACGGUCCUAUGGAUUGUAAACUGCUUUUUANACAGGAAGAACACUCCCUCGUGAGGGAUUUGACGGUACUGUAU
RNAcentral lists this ribosomal RNA (454 nucleotides) under uncultured bacterium. RNAcentral's name for it is "bacterial SSU rRNA". It matches the Rfam family "Bacterial small subunit ribosomal RNA", at positions 28 to 483 of the family's 1533-position model. The record is from RNAcentral.